RNAcentral lists this ribosomal RNA (497 nucleotides) under uncultured bacterium. RNAcentral's name for it is "partial 16S ribosomal RNA". It matches the Rfam family "Bacterial small subunit ribosomal RNA", at positions 28 to 507 of the family's 1533-position model. The record is from RNAcentral.
GAUGAACGCUGGCGGCGUGCCUAAUACAUGCAAGUCGAGCGAACAGAUGAGGAGCUUGCUCCUCUGACGUUAGCGGCGGACGUGUGUGUAACACGUGUAUAACCCACCUAUAUGUCUGGGAUCACUUCGGGAAACCGGCGCUAUUACCGGAUAAUCUAUUGAACCGCAUGGUUCAUUAGUGAAAUACGGUUUUGCUGUCUCUUAUAGAUGGAUCCGCGCCGCAUUAGCUAGUUGGUAAGGUAACGGCUUACCAAGGCAACGAUGCGUAGCCGACCUGAGAGGGUGAUCGGCCACACUGGAAGGGAGACACGGACCAGAGGCCUACGGGAGGCAGCAGUAGGGAAGAGGACGCAAUGGGCGAAAGCAUGACGGAGCAAGGCCGCGUGAGAGAUGAAGGUGUUGGGAUCGUAAAACUGUGUUAUUAGGGAAGAACAAAUGUGUAAGGAACUAUGCACGUAUUGACGGUAACGAAUCAGAAAGCAACGGCUAACUACGUG